This 384-nucleotide ribosomal RNA is filed under the name Thriocerodes bipartitus. RNAcentral describes it as "partial 12S ribosomal RNA". The record is from RNAcentral. Lineage: Eukaryota; Metazoa; Arthropoda; Insecta; Coleoptera; Cleridae.
UAAAAUUAAAAAAUUUGGCGGUAUUUUAGUCUUUUCAGAGGAACCUGUUCUAUAGUUGAUAAUCCACGAUAAAAUUUACUUAUUUUAGAAAUUUAUAUAUCGUCGUAGUUUGAAUAUUUUUAUAGAAUAUUUAAUAUUCAAUAUUUUUUAUUAUAAGAUAAAUCAGAUCAAGGUGUAGUUUAUAAAUAAGGAGAAAUGGGUUACAUUUAUUUAAUUAAUGAAUAAAAUUUUUGUAAAAUUUUUUGAAAUUGGAUUUGAAAGUAAUUUAAUUAAUUUUAUUUAAAUGAUUUAAGCUCUAAAAUAUGUACAUAUUGCCCGUCGCUUUUGUUUUAAGAUGAAAUAAGUCGUAACAAAGUAGAUUUACUGGAAAGUGAAUCUAGAAAA